Molecule: long non-coding RNA, 287 nt
Filed under: Hordeum vulgare
Lineage: Eukaryota; Viridiplantae; Streptophyta; Magnoliopsida; Poales; Poaceae
Description: long non-coding RNA (HVUL_LNC004305)
Source: RNAcentral
UUUAUUUGUGGCCUCUUUGGCUCUUUCUUUUUAUCUCUCAUUUGUCCUCUUUGGGAUCUUUUGUUUUGUCCACUUUGGGAUCUUUUCCUCACUUAAGGGCAAUUUAUUUAUGUUUUACAUGAAUAAAAAGAAAACUCAUCACACUUUAUAAGAAGUACUCGACAUAAACAUAAGUGAAAACUAUCAUGAUGUAUGCAAAUGUAUGCCUCUACCAGUGUAGCAGGAUAUGCAAUGAUACUAGCGCGUCAUGUAGCAGUAAUAAGGGCAAGGCCCAAGUAGCAUACGGC